GACAGGGGCGUGCUGUCAGCUCAUAUGAAAGCACGCCCCUGUCCCUGAUCUUAUGUGAUUGGGCACUGAACGCUGGGGCUGUAAUGUGAGCUGUCCUCGGCUGCUCUUCCCAGCCACCAUGUGUUGUGUACCAAGCAGUGCAGCAAGGGAACAGGCAGCCCUCCUCCUCAGCUCCAGACUCCGGACUUCGAGACAGCACAGCUGCCACUAGUAGACAGGUUUUUAGAAUAUGACGAGGUGUACAAGUUUGUUCCUCCAGAUGUGAAUAUUAUGUUACAGUCUGCCAGGAACAGAUGCUAUAGAGGCAACUGGAACUGAACUGUAGCUGGAAGUGGAAUGAAACUGGAACUGGACUGAGAAUGGUACUGGAGCCAGACUGGAACCAGAUGGUGACUGGACUAGAAGAUGAAUACUGACCGGUAUAACCCUCUGGGACCGGGCUAGAAUUGGUAUAGCAUUCUGGGACUGGGCUGGUACUGGUAUGGCUCUCUAAGACCAGGUUGGAACCAAUAUAGUAUUCUGGGACUGGGCUCGAACCGGUAAAAAACACUGGGUCUGGGCUGUAACUGAUAUAGCACUCUGGAACUGGGCUGGAACUGGGCUGGAACUGGUAUAGCACUCUGGGACUGGGCUGGAAUUGGUAAAGCUGCAAAGUACCUGGGAGCUUAGUACAGAGCUGUUCAAGAGAAGAGACGGUUGUACUGGCAAUUUGAGCCAGUCAGGACAUGGAACUUAAAGGGUUGAGCAAGAGGUGAUUGUAUGCUGUGGUCAGCUGGUGGAAAACCGCUUUAUUGUUGGGAGGCCAAGAAGUGCACAGAAAAAAUACUGUAUUAGAUGCAUAUGUUUUGGAAUUAGAAAAAUAUCAAUGUCUCAGCUAAGCUAAGAAUGUGCUGUGGUAUUAAAGAGGAAUGCUAAAUCACUGUGUAAGCCCUUAAGUUGGGGAUGUAAUCCUGGGUGUCAGAAUGCCGGCAGCAGGGCAAUUGCUAGAAAGCCCCUUGCGGGCUCGCUGCGCUAACCGUGCUCCGAGCUUGGUGGCUCGCUGCGCUCACCACAGGUUCUAUUUCCACUCUAUGGGUGUCAUGGAAAUAGAACCUUUGGGAAUACCCUGGCGCAGCUGUCGGCAUUCUCGGCGGUAGAUAUCCUGGCUUCGGUUUUCUGAAUGCCUGGAUCCCGACCACUCGGAUAUUUUCUGCAUCACUUAUGACAAUGUAUGUGUUCGUUUAUAUCAUUUCCUCCUAAACCAGUGGUUCCCGGACUAUGGGGGUUAUUCAGAGAUUGACGCAGCUCUUGCUUCUGCAGCAAGAUCUGCAUCCAUCUACUCACAUGCUGGGGGCCGUCCAGCACUGGGCUAGGCCGUCCAGCAUGUGUGACACUUCACCUUGCGAUGCAUUCACAAUUUAAUUGCAAACGCAUUGAUUAGAGGAUGACCCUGUCUGUGCAACCUGACUAUGCUGGCAGGCGGUCAGACGCUGGAAUCCCAACAUCCUUCAGAAUACUGAAGUCAAAAUCCCCCAAAAGUCAGGAAACUGACGCCGGUAACCCAACAGCUGGCAUCCCGACCAUGAGUAUAGCAGGAGGGUUAGGUUUAAGACCGGGGUGGGGAGAUUAGGUCAAGGCACCACCCCGGGAGGUUAGGGUUAGGCUACGGGUGGGGAGAGGUUAGGGUUAAGCUGUUGGGAAGGGGGGGGUUGGAAACCACCAUGGGGAGGAUAGG
Pseudophryne corroboree (corroboree frog) is the source of this 1714-nucleotide long non-coding RNA. RefSeq lists it as uncharacterized. NCBI's taxonomy places the organism in Eukaryota, Metazoa, Chordata, Amphibia, Anura, Myobatrachidae. The transcript is spliced from 3 exons. The record is from RefSeq and is a predicted model, not a curated record.